CACUGGAUACCAUCACACAGAUUGAAUAUCAUUACACCGGCGGCAAAUUGGGGGGUGGACGAUCUUUGGAAUCUUUGUCGUGGUGUCUUGCAUGUUGAGAUAAACUGGGCGCGACAGUCUAUUCGUUCAAAUUGUCAAGGAAGGUGGGUGACAUGCAUGGAAUUCCAUGGGAUUUCAGAAAUUCCGGUACUCUUCGUUGGUUCCACCGCAGCGACAGCCUCUUCGCAAAUUCUUAUCGAAGGAGUAGGCAAUCGCUGAGCUGAUUGAAAGCCACAGUUUCCACGUUCGAGGUGUUGACGAAAUUUCGGCUGGAUGAGAACCUUCUGAGGUCCUAGUGCACGUAUCAAACCUGGUCAGAUUUUGGAAGAGCACCAAGCUUUUUUGAAGCGGAAUCGAAGUAUCGUAGAUAUUUGAUGGUGCACAUGAGGAGAGGGCUAGUAAUUUUUGUUGGAACGCAGGCGGCGCGGACAUGCUCCACCGCAUCUGGCUCUAAAUCCAUUAGCUCCACACCCCGCCGUUUAAACUUUUACACAAACCGGCGAAUUGAAUUAUCUUCAUACGGCCGGAUAGGACGGUCUGAGAUCAUGAACGGACCCCAACCACCUGUGGUCGGCAAAAAACAUUUCUUUUCCUGGGCACUGCGUCGACCUCCACCGCAAAUUUCUGCUCUGUCGAGAAGUUAUGCAGUAGCACAACCUAUCCCAGAGGAGUUGGACAUGGAAAGAGACAAGGAAGCUGGGAUGGAAGAGGUGGUGGAAGAUUGUCGAGUCCAGCAUGGGGAGCUGUGGAAUGAAGAUGUAAAAAUCCACUAUGUGGAAUGUGGAGACAAGAACGGAGAACUGGUUGUGUUGAUUCACGGCUUCCCGAAUUUUUGGUAUGUUUGGAAGCGCCAGUUUCUAGCGUUGGCUGAAUCAGGUUACCAUGUAGUUGCACCCGAUUUGCGUGGCUACAACUCAUCCUCCAAGCCUAAAGGCAUACAGCAUUACGGCCGGUGUGGCGUGGUUUCGGACAUGGUUCGCAUCAUUGAUGGACUUGGUGGUGGGAAGCCAUCCACGGUGGUAGGGCAUGAUUGGGGAGGAUUCGUGACCUGGGCAUUGGUGGAAGACUUCCCGGACAAGGUGAAGGCAAUAUUUGUUAACGUACCUCAUGCGACAGUGUUUAGCGAAGCCGUCCGUUCUAACUUCCGUCAGAUGCGUCGGAGUUGGUAUGUUGGGUUUUUUCAGCUGCCUUGGGUUCCUGAAUGGUUGAUGAGUCAUGGAGAUUAAGCUUCUCUACCUGUAUUGUUCUGAAAUAUCACUCUUGGCCUUGGACCCGACCCUUUUUGAAAUCCUCACAAACGAAGUUAAGGCCUGGAUAUUCAAACAUCUUCUGUACAUAAUUUCUUCUUGUUAUGGGUUUCUCUGAGCUUAAACUGUCAUUGCCCUUUUGGUGACUGUGUACAGUUUUAAGACUUUAAGGGCGUCUUUUGGUAACACUAAAGAUCAACCUGAAGACAUUGACAGGUAAUUGAACUGUUUGCGACGUUCAGAUGUUUGUUGCAAGAGAAUGCAGGAAAACGUAGAAGAGUUUUUUUUUUUUUUUUUUUUUUUUUUUUUUUUUGUGACAAGUGUUUCCAAAUAUUACCGAGCGUGGGUCCGAGGGUAUUGGUCUCCACCUCCAGAUGCACCCAAGCCUAUACAUGUUGAGGUGCCUGUUGUUCUCAUUUGGGGUGACCUUGAUGCUUAUAUUGGGAAGGAGCUGGCCGUGAUCCCCAAGAAAAUCGCCCCCAACUCCGAGGUCAAGCGUCUCCCACAUUGUUCGCAUUGGCCAAUGUGGGAUGAUCCAGUGCAAUUCAACGCUCUACUCCUGGAAUCCAUAGCCUCGCACCAGGCAACCUCUACUUCCCAGGUGCAAAUUGCCACGAUGUCGACCAGUGAAGUCAUUUUGGUUAAAUAACCAUCUCUACAAGCUGGGUGCAGCUUUUGGACGGCUGAUGAUCUUUUCAUGUAAUAUUUCCCAGAGAGCGAACCCUGCAAAAGGCUUUGUUCUGCACAGGAACAUUUGUGGAGGAUUGAUUAGCCUGAAAGUACUUGUGCUGGUCACUGGGAUGGACGGAUCUAGAUGUAGGCUAUUUGUUUUAUGGACGUAUGAUGCUACAGUGGCUAACCAAACAAAUUGUUUACAAAACACAAGUCCAAAAAUUACGAAGACCAGAAAUUGUUCCACUCCGUUCGAAGCUGUUCUUGGAUGUAUCCUCGAGCUGGGUCAACUGUAACUAAUAAAUAGAUAAAGGGAUCAGAUUUAUAUUAAACGUGGCUUUUAAGUGGCUCUUCAGUUGAUUCUGAGGAUGCAUGCCACCAUACAAUAGCUAUUGACACAUGAUAUUAUUUAGGUGAGGCUACGGCAUUAACAUGCAACUACAGGGGCCGAAUUUGCGAGAGAUGAAUGCCAUCGAAGCUGGUCGAACAGCUUUGCGGUAAUUUCUGAGUGAGGAGCAGGUGCCAGUGAGCAGUGACCCCAACCAGAGCACCGAUUUCUAACUGACGCUGUCAAGCUCAAGGCACUUUUCUGAGGUUGGACAUUCCCAAUUGUCAGAUUCCUCUUCUGAUCUGACAAGUGGUUCUUUGUUAAAAGUUUCAAUUGACAAUUUUCUCUAUUUUAAUUUGCAACUUGAUGACA
This is a non-coding RNA of Physcomitrium patens, 2658 nucleotides long. NCBI's taxonomy places the organism in Eukaryota, Viridiplantae, Streptophyta, Bryopsida, Funariales, Funariaceae. The record is from RefSeq and is a predicted model, not a curated record.